AAGCAGAAGCUGGGGUCCCUGGCCUCUGCAGCCCAGAGCUCUGGCCAGGGGAGGGGGACCUUUGGCUGCGAGGGAUUCUGGGUCUUCUGCUGCCCAUGGCCUGGCCCCCUCUGCUGCCCCCAUCCUUGCCACUUCUCCACCUGUGGAACCCACCCGCCACUUGUUGGCCCUUCUUGUACUAGGGUUUGGGGAGCCGGGAGACGACACGUUGUAGCCACAUCCUCCUGCAGGAGCUGCCCACUGAGGCCCAGUCUCAGCAAGGUGGGCUCCAACCCGCCAGUCCUGCCGGGAGCCUUCCCUGGGGAGGCGGGCCCACGGGCAGGGCCAAUAGCAGCACGCCUGGCCAACCCCACGUCCCUGCUGCCAACCCAGACAACAGCGGCGCCGCGGGUCCCAGCGAGCGUCGGGCCAAACCCUUGCUUUUCUCCUCAAAAUGGGGCAAAUCCCAAACCCCAGGAGGGCAUGAGUGCCCAGGUACCGCUGUGGCGCAAGCACGCUGCCCACAGGAGAAAUGGGAAAGGACACAGGGGGAAGGUCGCAGCCCGAGCGAAGCAGGGAAACUGAAGAGGAGGCAGUGAAGGAUGUGUCAGCCACCUGGUACCCCUUUGCUACCACACUUUUGGGAGCUGCAUCCACAUCAUUCUGCCCCGGGCUUAGGGUCACACAACUAGUGAGACUGGAUUUGCACUCAAGUCUUGCUACAGGUGCAGCUGGUGAUGACUGAUCAAUUAGCAUAUUUAUAUAUUAUAAACUAAGGAGCUUGAGUGGGUGGUCUUCAAAGUUUCUUCUGUUCUAAAUCUAUGAUCUUAUGACCCAUGGACCAGGGCCCUCCCCUUCCUCCGCAAUAGGUUCAAUGCCUGGCUGUCAGUAUCUUUCUCCCUUAUAACCCCUGGCUCUGACUUUUGGGGGGCUCAGCCUGCUCAGAUUGCCACCAAACCCUCUCCACCCCAUAUUUCAGUGGUUGUCCCUUCUUAGACCCAUCCCUAAUGUUAACCACAUUCAAUGAACCUCUCACGCUUCACUCUCAGAACUCCAUCCUCUCUCCACUGAAAGUUGAUGUCUUAAAUCUCUGUGCUCAUCUCUGGGAGAGGAAAGAGAAGAAGUCACUGAUGCAGAUCUGAUGACCAUCUCCUGCCCUGCCCUCUUUAGGGAGUCCUGAGCCAAGGGGAGCAUGGGGAACAGUAAUAUUUAUCAUCCUGGCUCUCUGUGUGCCCCGGAGUCAGGGCCCAGGGGUUUGGGAGGAAGUUGGAAACAGAUUGGGAAAUAAAGGCGUGCUUUUAUCUAGUAAUUGUGUAUGGGGAUGUCUGUAGUGAGGGGGUGUGUUGGAGCAAACAGAGCUGCAUCUCUUUCCCUCUGACAUCAAACAGCCAGCUCAGUUCUGGCCCAUCUCCCAGGGUGAGGAGGGAGUAUGGGAUGGGUGUGUGGAGGGAGGGAGAGGUGAAGAGGAGGUUGAUUCCAGCCUGGAGUGGCCCCAGUUAGGAGGACUUUUGAAAGUAGAGGGAGUUGUACAAUCAUCUCAAGGGAUGGGAACUGCUCCAGGGGCUCCUCGGGGUACUGGGACUUGGGGAAAAACUAGACCUCUUGGGGUCAUUGUGCAUUACACAAGAUUUUUCAGGUUUUUAGUGAAGAGAGUUCUGAUUGAUUUGACCUUCUCCACACACACAGACACACUUCUCGCCUUCCCUGAGUUCUGGGGGUGUGAGAAAUGGGGAGAAAGAUUCCCAUUCUGGAGGUGAUGUCUGCUUAAUGAGGAGAUACCAGCAUGAAUGGGUAAGGGAGAGCCCAAAGUGUCUACCCAAGCUAUUGCCCAACCCAGGGCUGACCUAAAACUUGACUGGUCUCUGGCCACCUACUGGUACUCUCCCUUGACUCUCUGUUUCCCCCAAUUAAAACCUAAUUGUUUUAUAAAUAUCUAAUCUUAUCAUUAUAUUUUUAUAUUAUAUAAUUGGAAAUUUUUUUCUUAUAAAUAUUUUACCAAGAAGCAACCCAGUUAGUGGACGGACAGAGAACCAUCCAUGAAGCCUGAAAAUCCUGGGUUCAAAUCUCACUUCUGAAACAUCAUGGUUGUAUGACCCUGGCCUAGUCCCAUAGUCUCAUAAUUCUGUAUGUAGGACAGAAGUAUCAGAUACUUGGCCCUAGAAGGCCUGAACCAGGUUAAAAUGGAACUGGGAAAUAUUUAUUAAAAUAAAUAAAUAAAUAGAAUAGAAUAAAGAAAAUGCUAACAUGUGGUUUUCUAAGUCAAUAGCUUACAGGAAUCAUUAUGCACUGUUUAUUCAUUUUAUUUUGAUAAUAAGUUUUUAUUUUCAAAAUACAUGUAAAGAUAGUUAUCAAUGUUCACCCUUGCAAAACCUCAUGUGCCAUAGUUUUCUUCCUCUCUCCCCACCUCCUCCUAUGUCUAGACAGCAAGUAAUCCAAUAUAGGUUAAACAUGUGCACUUCUAAACAUAUUUCCAUAUUUAUCAUGCUGUAGAAAAAAAAUCAGAAUAAAAAGAGAAAAACUGAGAAAGAAAGAAAGCAAAACAACAACAAAAAAGGUGAAAAUACUACAUUGUGAUCCACAUUCAGUCCCCACAAUCCUCCCUCUGGGUGCAGAUGGCUCUCUCCAUCACAAGUCCAUUGGAAUUGGUCUGAAUCUCCUCAUUGUUGAAAAGAGCCAUGUCCAUCACAGCUGAUCAUCACCUUAUGUUCGGUUUAGUAGUCCCUGUUUCUAUUGCAUUUGAUUUCUCUGUUCUAGGAAACCAAGAAAGAGUUCUUAACAUUAACUCCAUGAACUUAUUUAUUCAAUUUUUUUGAAAGCCAUAUUUUAAUAUGAGUUCCUUUGUAACAUGUAUUUCAUUUUAUGCAUUCAACAGCAUUAAUCUGAGAAGAUUCUAAAUAGGAUUUAUGCCAGCCCAAGGAGUCCACAGCACAAAGAAAGCCAAGAACCCCUACUUUAAGAUAAAAAGAUGCCAGAGAAUUUCCUUACAUGAAAGUCCCCUAUUCCAAUGAAAUCACCGGUCCCAGCUCUCUCUCUUACCAGUCCUUCAUAUUUUAGCAUAAACUUCAGUUAGUGGGAUAUCUUUUUUAGGGAUGUUAAAACAAAAAAACUCUUGUGGCUAAUGGUGAAAUGAAAGUUUUGUCCCCAAAGACCUAGUUCAAACAUCAAAAUGGCAGAAAGUGAUAUUCCUGAAAUUAGUAAGUAAAAUAUAUAUUUUUUAAAAUUUUACUUAAUCCUAUUUUUAUAGGUUUGUAUAGUUAGUAGUAUUUUAUUUUUUAUAGGUAAAGAUAGUUUUCAACAUUCAUUUUUGUAAGAUUUCAAGUUCCAAUUUUUUUCUCCUUUCCUCCUUUUCUUUCCAAAGAAUAUGAAUAUUUGUUAAAUAUUUAGCAUUAUGCUAAGUGUUGAGGAUACAUAGGAAAAAAUAGUCUCUACUCUCAAGGGAGUUACAGUCAAAUGCAGGAAACAAUAUACAGACAAUUAAUAAGAUACAUUUGAAAUAGCCAAUAGCUUAUUAGCUGUGUGAGACUCCGAGCAAGUCUCUUCAUUCUGUUUGCCUCAGUUUCCUCAUCUGCAAAAUGAGCUGGACAAUGGAAUGAAAAACCACUCCAGAAUCUUUGCCAAGAAAACCCCAAAUGGGAUCAUGAAGUCAGACAACUAAAAAUGACUGAACAACAACAAUAACGAGAUUGGACUACCUUGAGGGCCAUUCUAACUAUGAGAUUCCGUGACUUUGAAAAUCUAAGUGAAGAGAAGAGGUGGUACAGUCCCAGGUGAUAUCCACCUAGAAUGAAGGGGGUUAAGGAAAAGUUUCUUACAGAAGGUAUUGGAAGGAGUCUUGUGGGUUAGUGGAAAGAAAAUUGGAUUUGAAGUUAAGAGAAACCUGGAUUCCACUCCCACCUUUGACAUGAGUAAAAUCACCACAAGCAAAUCACUUGACCUUUCUAAACUUCAGUUUUCUCAAUUGUAAAAUGGGGAUUAUUGUUCUUGUAGAGAUUAUUUUAUUGGUAGAUGCCCAUCAAUUGGGGAAAGGCUAAGUUAUGGUAUGUGAAAGUACUAUGAAAUAAGUUAUUAUUGUCUAUUAAAAAUGAACAAGCUGAUUUUAGAAAGGGCUGGAAAGAUGAACAAGAAUUGAUACUCCACUAAACAAGCAGAACCAGGAAUACAUUGUACACAGUAACAGCAAGAUUGUCAACUAUAAAAGACUUGCUUCUUCUCAAUGGUUCAGUGAUCUAAUACCAAUAAACUUUGGAUGGAAAAAGUCGUCCGAAUCCAGAGAGAGAACUAUGGAGACUGAAUAUAAAUCAACACGUGCUAUGUUUGCUUUUUUUCUUUUUCUUCUGUUCUAUUUUUCUCUCAUAUUUUUUCCCUUUUAUUCUGAUUUUUCUCUUCCAACAUGAUUCUUAAGAAGAUAUAUUUUAAAAAUUAAAUUUACAUGUAUAACAAAAAUUCAAUUAAAAAAUAAAAAAGAAAUUAUCUCAUUAGAUAGUUUUAAGUAUAAAAUAAGAUAAUGCAUAAUGGAGUGCCAGUUUUCUCAUGGGCAUAGAUGUGAAGAAGUCCUGCUUAUCUACCAAGAGUGCAUCAUAAAGUUUAUGGCUUUAAAGGGUUGCAAAGAAUUAGAAAAGGAAAAGAGCUCUUUCAUGGACUAAUGUAGAAAAUCCACCAGAGUGGCUGACUUUGGAUUGGGAUAAUCAUGGACAGGGAAGCCCUCUUUAGUGAAAAUCUUGUUCCUUUUCCUUUAGAGCCCUACAAGACAAUUAGGCAAUAUCCUGGCCCUUGAUUCAGCCUAAGUGUUUCAGGUCUCGCUUCCACACUAGUGCUACUGACAACAUGUGGGUCUGCUG
Molecule: long non-coding RNA, 4817 nt
Filed under: Sarcophilus harrisii (Tasmanian devil)
Lineage: Eukaryota; Metazoa; Chordata; Mammalia; Dasyuromorphia; Dasyuridae
Description: lncRNA (ENSSHAG00000023615.1)
Source: RNAcentral